UAAUAGUUAGUUUAUAGGAACAAUGCAAUUUGAAUGCAAAAGAGGAAGUGCAAUUCUUCCACUAUUAA
RNAcentral lists this transfer RNA (68 nucleotides) under Chthamalus challengeri. Its description in RNAcentral is "tRNA-Gln". It matches the Rfam family "tRNA". From Rfam's summary of the family: Transfer RNA (tRNA) molecules are approximately 80 nucleotides in length. Their secondary structure includes four short double-helical elements and three loops (D, anti-codon, and T loops). The record is from RNAcentral. Lineage: Eukaryota; Metazoa; Arthropoda; Thecostraca; Balanomorpha; Chthamalidae.